This 323-nucleotide ribosomal RNA is filed under the name uncultured Allapsidae. RNAcentral's name for it is "SSU rRNA". The stretch from base 105 to 323 matches the Rfam family "Eukaryotic small subunit ribosomal RNA", at positions 736 to 955 of the family's 1831-position model. Lineage: Eukaryota; Cercozoa; Glissomonadida; Viridiraptoridae. The record is from RNAcentral.
GAUUUCUGGUUUGGUGCGCCUGGCCCACUGCCAUCAGGCAUGUGAGUGCCGGUGCGCGCCUGCCAUCCCUUCUAGAGAACGGUUCUGCCCUUUACUGGUCGGAGUCGCGAUCUAGAUCUUUUACUUUGAAAAAAUUAGAGUGUUUCAAGCAGGCUUUAUGCUAUGAAUACAUUAGCAUGGAAUAAUAAUUUAGGACUUCGGUUCUAUUUUGUUGGUUUCUAGGACUGAAGUAAUGAUUGAUAGGGAUAGUUGGGGGUGCUAGUAUUCAGCGGCCAGAGGUGAAAUUCUCGGAUUCGCUGAAGACUAACUUAUGCGAAAGCAUU